GCGGGCGUAACUCAGUUGGUAGAGUGUCAGCUUCCCAAGCUGAAUGUCGCCGGUUCGAGUCCGGUCGCCCGCUCCA
RNAcentral lists this transfer RNA (76 nucleotides) under Planctomycetota bacterium. RNAcentral describes it as "Planctomycetes bacterium tRNA-Gly". It matches the Rfam family "tRNA". Rfam says of the family: Transfer RNA (tRNA) molecules are approximately 80 nucleotides in length. Their secondary structure includes four short double-helical elements and three loops (D, anti-codon, and T loops). Further hydrogen bonds mediate the characteristic L-shaped molecular structure. tRNAs have two regions of fundamental functional importance: the anti-codon, which is responsible for specific mRNA codon recognition, and the 3' end, to which the tRNAs corresponding amino acid is attached (by aminoacyl-tRNA synthetases). tRNAs cope with the degeneracy of the genetic code in two manners: having more than one tRNA (with a specific anti-codon) for a particular amino acid; and 'wobble' base-pairing, i.e. permitting non-standard base-pairing at the 3rd anti-codon position. The record is from RNAcentral. Lineage: Bacteria; Pseudomonadati; Planctomycetota.